Non-coding RNA from Acanthosepion pharaonis, 109 nucleotides. Lineage: Eukaryota; Metazoa; Mollusca; Cephalopoda; Sepiida; Sepiidae. The record is from the annotation of a GenBank genome assembly.
GGCUAUGUUACUUUGAUUACGCCGGUUCUCAUUCGAUUUACGAAGCUAAGCAACGCUAGGUCUGGCUAGUACUUAGACGGGUAACCGCUUGGGAAUAACAGGUUAGCGU